GAUAACGCUACGACAGGCCUACCACAUGCAGAUCGAGGGGUACAGGGGUAGCAAUACUCUGCUGACGACCGGCGCACGGGUGAGUAACACGUAUGCAACCUACCUACAACAGGGGGGAUAGCCCGGAGAAAUUCGGAUUAAUACCGCAUAAAACAGGGGCUCCGCAUGGAGCUAUUUGUUAAAGAUUUAUCGGUUGUAGAUGGGCAUGCGUUCCAUUAGCUAGUUGGUAGGGUAACGGCCUACCAAGGCAACGAUGGAUAGGGGAACUGAGAGGUUUAUCCCCCACACUGGUACUGAGACACGGACCACACUCCUACGGGAGGCAGCAGUGAGGAAUAUUGGUCAAUGGACGAGAGUCUGAACCAGCCAAGUCGCGUGAAGGAUGACUGCCCUACGGGUUGUAAACUUCUUUUGUGCUAGAGUAAAACAGGGUAUGUAUACCCUCUUGCAAGUAUAGUACGAAUAAGCAUCGGCUAACUCCGUGCCAGCAGCCGCGGUAAUACGGAGGAUGCGAGCGUUAUCCGGAUUUAUUGGGUUUAAAGGGUGCGUAGGCGGGAGCUUAAGUCAGC
RNAcentral lists this ribosomal RNA (569 nucleotides) under uncultured bacterium. RNAcentral describes it as "bacterial SSU rRNA". It matches the Rfam family "Bacterial small subunit ribosomal RNA", at positions 28 to 592 of the family's 1533-position model. The record is from RNAcentral.